CACCAGGUCCAACGAACCAUGCCAAAUCCGGUGGUGGAGAACACGCCACAUAAGUUUUAUAUUUUUUUUUUGAUACAUACGGAUAGUCAUAUUAUUUUGAUAUAAAAAUAAUUUAAAAAAAUUAAAAUAUAAAAAAAUUUAUAAAAUCGAUAAAUAAAUCAUUCGAUUAUCAAAUUUAAUUUUUAAAAUAUUUUAUUAUAUACGAUGCGAUUCAAUCUUUCAUGCUUCUCAAUAGACUGUCACUGUAACCG
This 251-nucleotide long non-coding RNA is filed under the name Elaeis guineensis (African oil palm). RNAcentral's name for it is "long non-coding RNA (EGUI_LNC019005)". Lineage: Eukaryota; Viridiplantae; Streptophyta; Magnoliopsida; Arecales; Arecaceae. The record is from RNAcentral.